Molecule: long non-coding RNA, 430 nt
Filed under: Physcomitrium patens
Lineage: Eukaryota; Viridiplantae; Streptophyta; Bryopsida; Funariales; Funariaceae
Description: long non-coding RNA (PPAT_LNC004583)
Source: RNAcentral
GCAAACAACCCCGGGCUCCCUCCAGCUGUGAAGCGGAAGGAACCGGAGGGGGGAUGGAACCUCCACUCAGGGGUAGGAAUAUAUAAGCAAUCAACGUGGCGGUGAUUGUUAUAUAUACAUGAGUAUUUGUUAUUUGUGUACAGUCAACCUGGGACAGCUCUGACACCCAGUGGAGUCCGCCAGGCAAUUUUUUUUGUGAACGACUCCAACUUAGCCUAAUGGUGAGCAGUUCGUGACCUUCUCUUUCACCGAAGGACACCUCUUUCUAGUUCUUUUCAACCUGGCAAGAUGGCAAGCUAUUGGGCGAAUUAAGUACGAGCUUGGACUUCGAUCAAAUCGACAGUUUGAUGACAUUUGGCAUGAGAACUGACAGUUCUUGAUUUUAGGACAUAAAAAUUGGGUCAGAAAGAGACGUGAGCACAUGGCCUUU